GAGAAGAGAAGAAAAGAAAAGAAAAGCAAAAGCUUGCACACUUAAGUUUAAAACUUCCCUUUUCCUCUCUCUUCAUGUGGGACUUGCGUUUCUCCUUCAUCUUUCUCCAAAUUUAGUUUGCUGUUUAGGUUUCUUGUUUUUGCUCUUUAGAUUCUUUCCAAGUCUUAGCUUACUAUCUUCAGCACCUACUGUAUUUCCCCUCCUUUUGAUAAGAAAAAACUUACAGAAGCUAAAAGCUUAGGGAAAUAUUAAUUAAAAGCUUAACAAGAAGGAGCAAAUCAUAGUAUACCCGAUGGUGAGAAAGGCUGCUCCAUUGUCAGGUUGGCCUUGGGAGAACUUGGGAAU
This 345-nucleotide unclassified non-coding RNA is filed under the name Hevea brasiliensis (rubber tree). The record is from RNAcentral. Lineage: Eukaryota; Viridiplantae; Streptophyta; Magnoliopsida; Malpighiales; Euphorbiaceae.